AUGGAGCAGGAGGUCGCUGGUGGAUCCAUCACGCCGGAAUGGGCGUCGCUUCCGCCGGAUCUCGUCCGGCUCGUUGCCGACUGCGUCCUCUCCACCAGCGGCGUCGACGACUACAUGGCCAUGAGGGCCGUCUGCCCCAGCUGGCGCUCUGCCGUCGCCAAGCCAUCUCCGCACGCCGCGAUCGCCGACCCCCGUUUCCGCCCACGGCAGUGGGUCUUCAUCAACGGGGCAGACGACGACCAAGGCCGGCCCCUCUUCCUCAACGUCUCCACGGGGCGCUUCCGCCGCCUGCGCCUCCCAGUGCUCCGUGACUACAUCUUCGUCGGUGCGUCCGACGGUCUCCUCGUGCUGGGGGACAGUGAGCCCCCGCAUGCCGCUCGUCUCCUCAACCCAUUGACAGGCGACAUUCUUCACUUUGCGGCGCCCAUAUAUCCUGAAGCUUGGGUGGAGACGGCAGUCGCUGGGACUGAACCAACCAUCGUCUUCUCUCUCCCACCGGUCUGUUUCUCGUUUUAUUGUCCUUUGAAGCGAGGUUGGGAAGACGCGGUUUACUCUGCUGAUCCCACGGGCCAGUUACGUGCGAUGAAGUUUCACGAUGCUGCUUCGGACGAUCUAGGCUUGUUCUUCCUUCGGAGCAUGGCCUAUGCGGGCAAUGUUUAUGUGCUCAGUUCUGGAGGAACUUUAUGCAAGAUCGUUUGGACCGGUAGCCACUGGUAUGGGGAGCGAAUAUUGGAUACUGGCAGGGACGACAAUGGUACUCUCCUGGAGUAUGCUGGUAAAUUGCUGCUUGUGAGAAAGGACUCCGAAAUCACUCAAGUUUUCAGUGUGGAUGUCGAGCGGAAGGUGCUUGAACCAAUCAAAAAUAUCGGCAACAGUGCGCUCUUCCUGAGUUAUAGCAAGUGGAUGGUAGUUGAUGCAGAUAAGCUUCCUUCCAUUGACGGCAACUGCGUUUAUAGGGCUGAUGCUGGAAACCAAUUUGAUAGCGUGUACGUGAGAUAUGAGUCAUAUGACCUCAGCGACGGCAAGAGGAAAUACGUCAACUGCCCUCAGGUUCCUCAAGAUGUUUGUGGAGCUGAAAGCGGUACAAUAUAUGAAGGACCUUUGAGCCUUGCUCAGGUGCUUCUCACUCCAUAUCCAAAAGUGAAAGCUCAAGUAGAUCGGUUCCACCAAACCUAG
Molecule: ribosomal RNA, 1176 nt
Filed under: Triticum aestivum (bread wheat)
Lineage: Eukaryota; Viridiplantae; Streptophyta; Magnoliopsida; Poales; Poaceae
Description: partial small subunit ribosomal RNA
Source: RNAcentral